GUAAACCCCUAAAUUUAUCGUAACUUGUCAGGUUUAUAUAAUGAUGUAAUCUUUUGAAGCUAACCGGCAAUCAGGCUUUAUUUCAAUGCGGAGUGGUUGUUCGUCAAAUCCACUGACGGGAACUGAAGAUUCCAGAGCAAAUUUUAUUUUAAUACAAAGACGGAACAUCAGAUGGAUUCUCAUCGUAGAACAAAGGUCUACAUUAUAGAACGCCUUUACACGCACCAGUUAUCUGAUUAUCAUCG
Molecule: non-coding RNA, 245 nt
Organism: Paramuricea clavata
Lineage: Eukaryota; Metazoa; Cnidaria; Anthozoa; Malacalcyonacea; Plexauridae
Source: the annotation of a GenBank genome assembly